UACAGAGGGUGCGAGCGUUAAUCGGAAUUACUGGGCGUAAAGCGCACGUAGGUGGCUUGGCAAGUCGGGUGUGAAAUCCCCGGGCUCAACCUGGGAACUGCAUUCGAGACUGCCUUGCUCGAGUAUGGGAGAGGGAAGUGGAAUUUCCGGUGUAGCGGUGAAAUGCGUAGAUAUCAGGAGGAAUACCGAUGGCGAAGGCAGGUCUCUGGGCUGACACUGACGCUCAUGCACGAAAGCGUGGGGAGCAAACAGG
Molecule: ribosomal RNA, 253 nt
Filed under: uncultured bacterium
Lineage: Bacteria
Description: partial 16S ribosomal RNA
Rfam family: Bacterial small subunit ribosomal RNA
Source: RNAcentral